Small nucleolar RNA from Ornithorhynchus anatinus (platypus), 138 nucleotides. NCBI's taxonomy places the organism in Eukaryota, Metazoa, Chordata, Mammalia, Monotremata, Ornithorhynchidae. The record is from RefSeq and is a predicted model, not a curated record.
CCCCUCUGAGGAUUGCAUCUGGAGAGUUUCCAGUCCUCUAUCAGUCUCAGCUACGGGAGGGAGAGUCAAGCAGAGGCCUGUCCGUUCCAUUCCUAGCUUGGCCAGUGGCUAGAGAGUGGAAGGCCACCGGCUACAAGU